UACGAGUGCCUCAAGCGUUAUCCGGAAUCAUUGGGCGUAAAGGGUGUGUAGGUGGCUCUGUUAGUCUCCUGUUAAAUAUUCGGGCUUAACCUGAAAAAUGCAGGGGAAACGGCAGAACUAGAGGAUGCGAGGGGUCUGCGGAACUCAUAGUGUAGCGGUGAAAUGCGUUGAUAUUAUGGGGGAACACCAAAAGCGAAGGCAGCAGACUGGAGCACUCCUGACACUGAAACACGAAAGCGUGGGUAGCGAAUGGG
Molecule: ribosomal RNA, 254 nt
Filed under: uncultured bacterium
Lineage: Bacteria
Description: partial 16S ribosomal RNA
Rfam family: Bacterial small subunit ribosomal RNA
Source: RNAcentral